Molecule: long non-coding RNA, 289 nt
Filed under: Brassica rapa (field mustard)
Lineage: Eukaryota; Viridiplantae; Streptophyta; Magnoliopsida; Brassicales; Brassicaceae
Description: long non-coding RNA (BRAP_LNC008277)
Source: RNAcentral
UUGGAUAUAUGUCAAAAAGAAGUGAACAGAGCUUGGUGGCAACCACCAUUAAGUUCUGAUUCAUGGAAGCCUGUCCAAUCUUAAUCACUGUCAUGAAAUAAAACAGACCUUGAUUUAAGAGAGAGAUUAGAGAGAGAGGAAAAUAGGAACUAACUUUUUACCUGCAGAUCCAGAAUACUUGUCUGAAAGCUAGGAUAUUGCAUAAUGUAUUUCUGUAAAAAGGAACUUUUAGAUGUGGAAUGCAAUAUUAUAGAGGUGAUGAUUUCCAUGUUUCAAAUCUUUGAGUCCC